GGACGUAGCUCAGCUGGUAGAGCAUCACCUUGCCAAGGUGAGGGUCGCGGGUUCGAAUCUCGUCGUCCG
This 69-nucleotide transfer RNA is filed under the name marine eukaryotic metagenome. It matches the Rfam family "tRNA". Rfam says of the family: Transfer RNA (tRNA) molecules are approximately 80 nucleotides in length. The record is from RNAcentral.